CUACGGGUCGCAGCAGUGGGGAAUAUUGGACAAUGGGGGGAACUCUGAUGCAGCAACGCCGCGUGGAGGAUGACACUUUUCGGAGCGUAAACUCCUUUUAUAUAGGAAGAAGAUGACGGUACUAUAUGAAUAAGCGCCGGCUAACUCCGUGCCAGCAGCCGCGGUAAUACGGAGGGCGCAAGCGUUACUCGGAAUCACUGGGCGUAAAGAGCGUGUAGGCGGAUUAAAAAGUCAGAAGUGAAAUCCUAUAGCUUAACUAUAGAACUGCUUCUGAAACUCUUAAUCUAGAAUAUGGGAGAGGUAGAUGGAAUUUCUGGUGUAGGGGUAAGAUCCGUAGAGAUCAGAAGGAAUACCGAUUGCGAAGGCGAUCUACUAGAACAUUAUUGACGCUGAGACGCGAAAGCGUGGGGAGCAAACAGGAUUAGAUACCCUUGUAGUC
Molecule: ribosomal RNA, 439 nt
Filed under: uncultured bacterium
Lineage: Bacteria
Description: partial 16S ribosomal RNA
Rfam family: Bacterial small subunit ribosomal RNA
Source: RNAcentral